AGGAGAGGAGAGGAGAGGAGAGGGAUUUGAACUGUGUUCAGUUAUAUCUAAUAGUUUACACUACGUAUACAAAUAUCCUAAUUUAAGACUUGUACCCUCAAAUAUUUGUGAGUUAUACACCCAGUGGAUAUUCUCUGUGUUCACUAACAUUAAUGCUCAUGUACAGGGUUGCUCUGUACUGACUGUGCUAUUGUAUGAGAUUACAGUGCAUCACUGGCUCCAACAUUAGAGGUUGCAGAAAAUUAUUGGUCUGUGAGAUAUGAACUAAAGAAAUUUUAGAAAUAUCUGGUUUGGGCUGUCAUCAUUGCUUAGGAAGUUUCAUAAAGACCUUGCACUGAUGUCCUAAUUUUAGAAGUUUGGGGGUUUUUUGCCAAUGGUACUAAUGAAAUUUCUGCAAGUAAAAUGAUAACUGUUGUCACUUUUUUCCCCCCAUUUUUUGACAUCUUGCAUAUUAUAAACCAAAUUAAUUUGAAGACUUAGAAUCUGUACCCAUGUGCACAACAUCUUACAUAUCUUAAAAUCAUGAAGAAGAAAAUCAACCAAAUCUCUGUUUUCUGUCAGACACAUUCUUGGGAUUUUUGAGUGAGCCUGUAUUUUGAACAUCAAAAUUCACUGAGAAUGAGGAUUCAUUUCCUAGAGGGAAUAAGGAUUGUAGCUGUUUGUGCUAAGUGUUCAACAGAAAUGAGUGAAGCCUCUAACCCCACAAUUUUUCAGCCUGGAAACAACCGACACACCGCAAGGGAGUCUAUGUGGUGUUACUGUCUGGAAACUUCAAAGUACCCUUGGUCUCUGAUUUAUAGAAAAUAAACAAACAUCCUUUUAAGUAGCAUGCUGAUCAGCUGCAGAAAUUAUUUACUACAGCCUGUUUAGUGUAAGAAUUUAGGAAAUUCCUGAUGAAGAUAACAGAUCAUCUUUUGAAUCUUUGCAAUUUUUUUUCAGCUAUCAUGCAGAGACUAUCUUUCCUUAGGUAGAAUUAUUUUAUUUGCUCUCCUCCAGUCCCAUCAGCAUUUAUUUGGCCUGUCCAAAUCCUCAGUCACUUUGUUAUUUUCAUUUAUUUUGGGUUUUUAGGCCUAUAACGCUGUAUUUUCACUUUUCCAAGUGAGUUGUUUCCAUAUUUUGAGAAUAUGUUAAAAAAAAAAGUAUUUACAGGUCUGGAUUUUAUUUUAUUUUAUAUUCAUAUUUAGGUUCUUUCACAUCUGCAAGUAUUCUGAGGGAAUACUUGGGUUUUGUUUUUUUUCAUUAAAAAAGAUCUCCAAUUCUGUUCCUGUGGAUUUUAAAUAUUUUCAUGUUCAGUUAUCUGCAAAAUAAAAUUAGUCUUCAACUCAGUAUUUUUUCAAAAUAAAAAAGACUAUGGCUUUAGGAGUCAGACAGGAAGUUAUGCCCUUUUGACCCAAAGAACUAAGAGGAAGGUUGGGAGGAAGAUGAUAAAGAAAAAGCAAAGGAGAAUACAAUUUGUAUGCAGUGGUCAUGGAUGUCAAAAGUUUUAAAUUAUCCCAGUAGGAGGUACUUGGGGAGCAAUCCCAGGCACAAUGUGGAAACAUGUUGUAGUGCACCACACUUUAUUGACUUUUUCUCCUUAUUCCCUGGAACUGUAACUUGGAUAUAGCUAUUUCCAGACAUCUCACAGAAGACUGGGGUUUUGUGAUCCUUUCAACUGGUUAUGUGUGAAAUCAGUGUUUAUGAGGACAGAUUACUCCUGCACAGUAUUGUCAAUCUAGGAAGUGCACAUUACUGUGGAAGUGAAAGCCUUAGCUAUGCAAAUACUUGGGAUCAUAAUUUUUUUUCUCCCUGUAUUCUCUGGUUUGUUGGUUUUUAUCUUUUGUUUUUAAUCUGUUUUUCCUAAGCUAUUUAUAUUUAUGCUUUUUUACAUCCCCAGCCCUCCUCAUAAUUUUUCAGUGCCUGUGGGAAAGGAAAAUGAGGCAAAGCUUAUCUUUUUCCAUUCUGCAGAUGAAAAUCCAGAGGUUGCACACAGAGAGAUUCAGAGAGAUAGGGGAAGGAGUGCUGUUGCUAUGGGAGUCUUCUUUGCUUCCUCUCUUCUGCAAGAGUUUAUCCUUAAAACCUGAGGAAAAAUGGGUGUGCCCAGUAAGUGUGACAGCAAGGCAAGAAAUUAGAAAAGUCCCAUGGAUAAGCAGGCUAAAAGAGAAGAAUGGACAGAGGUGCCAGGACUGCAAAUUGACAUCUCCUUGGCAUGUCAAAGGAUGGGGAAAGGCAAAGAAUUGUGCUGACCCCCUGUUGCAACAUGUACAGGGGGAUGGUGACAUAAAGGCAAAAUGUACAGCUGGAUGGUGAGAAAAAUUACUCCCAGAACCAAGCAGCUGAGUCUCACUGUCAGUGUGGCCCAGUGCCCCUCCUGGCCUGGGGCAGCUGAAUGCAGAGUCCUCCUGGGACCUUGGAUCAGGCAGAAGGGUGUAACUAGUAAAGCAAAGUGGCAAAUGUAGAUGGACAUUUCUGGUAAACUUGGCAAUAUUUUCAAAGUCUAUGUUGUGACAUUUUAUGCUUUGCCAUAGAUAAUUGUCAAACACCUUGUACUAGCGAAUCAUUAGCUGCUGCACAGUGCAAAGCUUAUCUUUAAUUAAAAAGUAAUCCACACAUACUGAACAUUUGAAUUUGUGACCCUUACGGUUAUUAAAACAAACAUUCUUACAUCUGUUGGGUUCAAGUGUUAUUGGAGUUUAUGUUUUCAGGCACUUACACCAGGCAAAUCUGAGCUUAAUAAAUGUCUGAAGACUGAUGAAAGUGUGAUAGAGAGGAAUUUGGUCCAGUCUCUUCAAAAUCAGGAGAUCUAUAGAUGGGUGUAAUAGCCCUACUUCAUAUUUGCAUGGAGAGAUGUACACGAGUUUCUCUUAAAUUUAAUUACUUCAUUGUCUUUAUAAUAUUUGACAACUUUUACAUACACUUGUCCUCUUAAUAUCUUUGCAGUACAUCUAAAAAUAAGUAAGAUGUAAACCUGGUGAUAAGCUGAAUUGCAUGUUUCCACUUAAAUCUGCAUUCCUUUUUGAGAUCUUUUGAGUUUUUUCUUUAGAAAUGCCCACCACAUUUCCAGUAUACCUGUACUUAAUGCUCUUUCAUUUCCUUUGUCUAGCACAAGAUGCUGUUAUCCCACAAAGUCCCACAGAGAGUAGAGGGGAAAAAAGAGAGACAGAAAAAUGUUAAUUUAGGAAGUAAAUUUGCUCAGUGCUUUAUCCCAGCAUCCUGUCCUCCUACUGCUUUUCAUAUGACCUUUUUCACUGCUCAGAAUUCAUUACUAUUGUAAAAACCAUGGUUAUGUUUCUUUAAAAUUUUCAAGAAAUCCAUGCCCUGUUUUAAAAUAAAUGGGAUUCACAAAUGACAAAUCAUGCUCUCUUUGAAAUCCUUUUCCUUCAGGAGCAACUCCAGAAGUUUGUUAAUUAGACCCACUAAACCAAAACUCCACAGCAAUAAUGCUGUGCAGAAGCAAAGGAGAAGACAUCAUUAUCACUCUUUUAUUUACCACUUCAGGACAGCACAGGAACCCUAAUCAGCUCACAACUACAUUGUGUCAGGUGCUGUACACAAUAAACAGCAGUUCCUGCUUCAGGAAA
Molecule: long non-coding RNA, 3560 nt
Organism: Passer domesticus (house sparrow)
Lineage: Eukaryota; Metazoa; Chordata; Aves; Passeriformes; Passeridae
Exons: 3
Source: RefSeq, a predicted model, not a curated record